Long non-coding RNA from Petromyzon marinus (sea lamprey), 664 nucleotides. RefSeq lists it as uncharacterized. Lineage: Eukaryota; Metazoa; Chordata; Hyperoartia; Petromyzontiformes; Petromyzontidae. The record is from RefSeq and is a predicted model, not a curated record.
GACUUUGCUCCGGAAGUGAACCCCGCGGUUUCCCGCCCUUACAUCCUCACCCCCGCCAUCUUAGCGCUUGACCGCGUUGGCCUCGGCAAGCACCUUUGAGGUGGGAGAAAAAAAAAACAAUUCCAUUUCAAUUUAACGUCCAGCAAUCGCGUUGUCAUUGUUGAAGCCGAGCCCGGUUGACAUCAAGAGAUUUGUGUGGUUUCAGAGUGGAAAGAGACCAAUGCCUAAAGUCAGUCCACCAAAAAGUGACAAAAGAAAUGAUGAUUCAAAGAGGCGGUCUCCUGAGCGGUCAUCGGGCCAAGACUCGAGGCACCGCUCGACCCGUGAUAAGUCCCGGUCACCCUCGUCUCGCGAUGGCCACCGCGACUCAUCAGCAAGGAGUGGCAGAGAAAAGCGUGCCAGCCGGGAGCGCCGUGACGACCGCAGGCGUUCAAAGGAGGGGUCACGCGAGCGGAGAGCCUCGCGGGAGAGGGAUGACAGGAGGGUGCCACGGCUUUUCCCAUCCCGGGACAGGAUGGUCUCGCGGAAUGAGCGGCCUGUGUUCCAUGGCGGUCCCCAUUACAUAAUGAACAGCAAACCACUUAUGGGCAGCAUGCCUGGCCGGGGUGGAAUGCCUUGCAGAGGGGGGAUGCCCAAUAGGGGUGGCAUGGGGGGCAUGCACGGC